CACAGAUAAGGACAAGGCACGGGGUAGAGGGAGGACGUUCUGAAGAUGUGCAUGGAACGGAUGAAUGAAUGAAUAAGUCAGCCACUGGCAGCAUCUGGAUGUGUGGGCAGGAGUCACAAUGCAGAGGGCACAGGAGGCCUCAUGCCCAUCACAGGCCACCAGAGCACAUGAAGAUGCUGGGGCCAGGAUACCCCUUGGGGUAAAGGCAAGAAACUGACCCAGACUUGACCGAGGGAAGAAGGAAGAGAAAGAUGAUGCAAACUUGGGAGCCCUAUGGAAAAGGAAAAUUCGAGAGCUGCAGAGCCUGACUCUUGCCUCCUUCUGCACAGGAUCGGCACCUCUGCCGGUAGUCCCCAAGCAUCACACAUGCAGGACUGCCUGUUCUGGACACACUGUCCCCUAGGAAUCUGCAUUCCUCACAGCCAGAAUCUUCCUCCUCUCCAUUCCUGCCGCUAAAAGUCUUAAGUGCUGACAAGGCCGUUUCCUGCAUUCGCUGCCUUCGUCACAGCCCUGUCGGGUGAACAUCUGAAGUCACGAGUGCUCUGAGCCCCACACACACCAUGUCCUCAGCCCCCUCCCUGGUCUCCCUGUCAGAGAUGGGGGCGCCCCCGGAGCUUCGUCAUCUGUGACAAUCGUCCGCCCGCUCUCCAGCCGGAACCUCAGCGAUGAAUAAGGGCUGAUUUCUCCUCAAACGAUCACCACCCCCAAUUCAUCACAUUCAAAGGACUAUGCACCUCAUGCCGUACAUUGGGAUGUACACGAGGGCCUGUGACAUUUAAGCUCCUUGCAGAGGAACUGCAUUGGGUCAUUUGGAUUCUCCACAGCACCUCUGAGCACGACACACCCUGGGACGAGGCUGUCUCCACAGCUGUGGACACGGCAGACCAAGCAGAUGCUUCAGGGCAUUUGCCUUUGACGAAGAUGCAGCCUGCCUCUUUCUGGGAUGCUUGUCCCUCAUUCUCUUCAAGGUCACACAAGGAGAAAGAAAGCAUGAGACUUAGUGCUGCAGUGAACUAUGGGGAAACGUCUGGGAGCAUCUUGAGUCCAUGAGGCCACGAGACUCAGGGGAAACCCAGCCUGUUGAGACAGAGUGACACAGAAGGAAUCCAC
RNAcentral lists this long non-coding RNA (1110 nucleotides) under Heterocephalus glaber (naked mole-rat). RNAcentral's name for it is "lncRNA (ENSHGLG00000045556.1)". Lineage: Eukaryota; Metazoa; Chordata; Mammalia; Rodentia; Bathyergidae. The record is from RNAcentral.